GAUGAACGCUGGCGGCGUGCUUAACACAUGCAAGUCGAACGGAAAGGCCCUGCUGUUGUGGGGUGCUCGAGUGGCGAACGGGUGAGUAACACGUGAGUAACCUGCCCUUGACUUUGGGAUAACUUCAGGAAACUGGGGAUAAUACAGGAUAGGAGCUCCUGAUGCAUGGUGGGGGUUGGAAAGUUUCGGUGGUUGGGGCUGGAUGCGGGGGUUAUCAGCUUGUUGGUGGGGUAGUGGCAUACCAAGUGUUUGAAGGGUAGCCGGCCUUGGAGGGUGACCGGCGACCAGGGGACUAAGGGAGGGCCCAGACGGGGACGUGAGGCAACAGGGGGGAAUAUUGCACAGUAGGCGGGAGCGUGAGGCAGAGACGCCGGGAGCGGGAAAACGUGUUUCGAGGUAAAAACAGCUUUCUCCUUAAACGAGGCGGGAUUGACGGUAAUGUAUAAAAAAGCACCGGCUAACUACGUG
Molecule: ribosomal RNA, 468 nt
Filed under: uncultured bacterium
Lineage: Bacteria
Description: partial 16S ribosomal RNA
Rfam family: Bacterial small subunit ribosomal RNA
Source: RNAcentral